RNAcentral lists this transfer RNA (73 nucleotides) under Desmophyllum pertusum. RNAcentral describes it as "Lophelia pertusa tRNA". It matches the Rfam family "tRNA". Rfam says of the family: Transfer RNA (tRNA) molecules are approximately 80 nucleotides in length. Their secondary structure includes four short double-helical elements and three loops (D, anti-codon, and T loops). Lineage: Eukaryota; Metazoa; Cnidaria; Anthozoa; Scleractinia; Caryophylliidae. The record is from Rfam by way of RNAcentral.
UCCUCCAUAGCUCAGUGGUUAGAGCGUCCAACCGGCACCUGGAAGGUCAUGGGUUCGAUUCCCGUUGGGGAAC